This is a long non-coding RNA of Labeo rohita (rohu), 1495 nucleotides long. RefSeq lists it as uncharacterized. Lineage: Eukaryota; Metazoa; Chordata; Actinopteri; Cypriniformes; Cyprinidae. The record is from RefSeq and is a predicted model, not a curated record. The transcript is spliced from 5 exons.
AUGUAAAAAGUUUGGUUGAUUUAAAUUAAAAGUAAGUCUUGUUAGUGUAAAGUAAAUACAUUUCUGUAAAUUAAAUUAAAAAUAUUGGUUUCCAUUGUCACGUGACUUCUAACGUCAUCCGUGGUCGUGCGUGUCGACGUUCAGCUUUCCGCCAUCUUGUUAUACCGCAUGGAUGAACUCGGCGUGGUAAAACGGGAAUCAAGAAAAUUGGAUGGGGUACAGCUGAACAACAAUUAUGACAGGUUUUGAAUAAACCAGUCACAUGAAAAACAUUAAUGCCGAAUUUUUGCGCAUCACGACCCUACAUUUACAAUCGAGAAUUAUGGCCUCUUUGGACAGACAGAGCUCUUAGCUUCUCCAGGUUAUUAGGAGCAAAGGUGGAGUCCUCCAUGAAAAAACGUUCAAGUUAUGGAUCAGAGUCUGGACAUAUGCAUCAGAAUAGAUCAUGUACCUUGGUGAAGAUGCAAGCUGUCUGAUCAAAGAAUACCAGGCUGACCAGAGGGAGGUAGCGGAGAGAGAAUUUGAAAAGACCACCAUGGCAUUUUUUGUAAUCCGUGAAAGUGAUGCUCUUAGUUGUGCACUGGACAUUUCCAUUGUCACUGACGGUGUGGAAGUACUAAAUGAGUUGCUCUCUGUUGCAUGUGCUUGUGCCAUAAUGUUUGGACACAUUUAUGCACUGAACUUAAAAUAUCCUGAAGGACUCAAAUAUACCUUUGAGGCCUUUCAAAAAUAAUCAUGGACAUAGAGAGUAAGCAGAUGAGCCGAAGGGUGCAGAACCUCUCUUCAAAGCUGCAGGAGUACAUUUGUUUCCUUUGACCCAGCUACAGUGUUCUGCUGAUGGUAAAUUUCUUUGAAGAUGUUGGACUGUAUAAAGCCUUUUAUACAAAGUUAACUGUACUACUGUUUACUAAACCUGAUUUGUUUUAUCUAUAAGUUGUGUUAUCUAGGGUUUGUUAAAUAGUUUACCCAAAAAUGAAAAUUCUUUCUUUGUUUACUCAUCCUUAAGCUAUUCAAGUAUUUAACUUUAAUUAAAUUUGGUUCAGAGACAUUUUAUGACAAUUUUGAUAAGUUUGAGAUAAUUGAGAUAAGUUUCAUUUUGGGGUAAACUAUUCCAUGAAGGUGAAAAUAAUUUUUUGUAAUUUAUUUUUUUAUUUUUACCAUUGGCUAAUUUGGUAGGUAUUUUAUUAAAAGUGUUUGGUUUUACACUGCCCAUUUUAAACCAGUUUUCUAAGUGACUGUUCAUGGAAAGAUUGCAUGUUUCUCGUUGAAACGAUAACUGAUUCUUAUGGUGAAUCUACAUUUUAUCCAGUGUGUCUAUGUAUAUGGAUACUAAAAACUGUUAUACAGUAUGUUUUUAUAACAAUACUAUACACAUGGUAGAGAUUAUGAUAAAAAUUGUCAAGUUUAUGAUGUUUAUAUUGUUUAUUGGUAUGAGGAUACUGUACACAUUGUACAAAAAAUUGUAUUAUGAGAAAAUAAAUUGUCAGAAGUUUGA